Molecule: ribosomal RNA, 254 nt
Filed under: uncultured bacterium
Lineage: Bacteria
Description: partial 16S ribosomal RNA
Rfam family: Bacterial small subunit ribosomal RNA
Source: RNAcentral
GACGUAGGGCGCGAGCGUUGUCCGGAUUUAUUGGGCGUAAAGAGCUCGUGAGGCGGCUCGUUGCGUCGGCUGUGAAAACCCGCAGCUCAACUGUGGGCUUGCAGCUGAUACGGGCGGGCUAGAAUUCGGUAGGGGAGACUGGAAUUCCUGGUGUAGCGGUGAAAUGCGCAGAUAUCAGGAGGAACACCGGUGGCGAAGGCGGGUCUCUGGGCCGAUAUUGACGCUGAGGAGCGAAAGCGUGGGGAGCGAACAGG